AAUUCCGCACCAACUCAAUAGUAUCCUUUUUCUUCUGUAUAAAUUGUAAUGUUGUUUAGCUUCUCCUGGACAAUUCACAAGGAAGCUCUCCUAGACCUAGUCCUAGUUAGCAAACAUAGCCAUCAUCAGUGUCGGGAUUUGUAACUUCUUCAACUAGUCUAAGCCAAUACUGUCUGUCCGGAAACUCUCCUAGUUCUAGUUAGUAAUCACGGUCAGCAUCAGUGUUGGGACUUGUAACUUCUUCAACUUGUCUAUGGCAAUAUUUUCUGUCUGAAAGGAAACAUUGUUAUUAGAUUCUAUCUUUCACUUCAAACUUGCUACCCCAACAAAAUGACACAAUCUUGUCUCAACUACAAGUGGUUUUUCUUAAUAUUCUUUCAUGGGAUUCUUCUUAUGUGUAUGAGCU
Molecule: long non-coding RNA, 406 nt
Organism: Quercus robur (English oak)
Lineage: Eukaryota; Viridiplantae; Streptophyta; Magnoliopsida; Fagales; Fagaceae
Exons: 3
Source: RefSeq, a predicted model, not a curated record